This 200-nucleotide unclassified non-coding RNA is filed under the name Agaricomycetes sp. RNAcentral's name for it is "partial internal transcribed spacer 2". The record is from RNAcentral. Lineage: Eukaryota; Fungi; Basidiomycota; Agaricomycetes.
UUAAGUUCAGCGGGUAGUCCCGCCUGAUUCGAGGUCAAGUUGAGAUGAAAUGUCCUGAAGGACGGUUAGAAGCAGACCAACGCGCAAGGCUACCCGCGGCGUAGAUAAUUAUCACACCAAGGGCAAACCCUACAAAAAGGGAUCCACUCAUGCAUUCAAGAGGAGCCGACGUCCCGAGGGAACACAACCGGCAAGACCUC